CCUACGGGAGGCAGCAGUGAGGAAUAUUGGUCAAUGGACGAGAGUCUGAACCAGCCAAGUAGCGUGAAGGAUGACUGCCCUAUGGGUGGUAAACUUCUUUUAUAUGGGAGUAAAAUGUUCCGCGUGUGGGAUUUUGUAUGUACCAUAUGAAUAAGGAUCGGCUAACUCCGUGCCAGCAGCCGCGGUCAUACGGAGGAUCCGAGCGUUAUCCGGAUUGAUUGGGGUUAAAGGGAGCGUAGGGGGAUUGUUAAGUCAGUUGUGAAAGUUUGCGGCUCUACCGUAAAAUUGCAGUUGCAGCUGGCAGUCUUUAGUACAGGUGAGGUUGGCGGAAUUCGCGGUGUAGCGGUGAGAUGCUUA
Molecule: ribosomal RNA, 357 nt
Filed under: uncultured bacterium
Lineage: Bacteria
Description: partial 16S ribosomal RNA
Rfam family: Bacterial small subunit ribosomal RNA
Source: RNAcentral